RNAcentral lists this long non-coding RNA (3172 nucleotides) under Sus scrofa (pig). RNAcentral's name for it is "lncRNA (ENSSSCG00000063389.1)". The record is from RNAcentral. Lineage: Eukaryota; Metazoa; Chordata; Mammalia; Artiodactyla; Suidae.
UUGUGUAGAACUCUUGCAUUAGGGCCACUGCAGCAUAGACCUCCACAAAGACCAUUUUAUAGCAUGCCAUUCACAUUGUAGUCUGUAUGGUUUACAGUAAAAGUUCUUAGGAGUGCCAUGACAGCUUUCCCACAGAUCAAUCAUUAAAUUCAGUCCAUCAGUCUUUUGUCCAAUAUCUAAUGAGUACCAUUUUCUGAAGUUGUGUUUUAUUAUAUUUUCUUUGGAGACAGAAUAGUGAUUUAAUGAUUUUGCUAGUGCCAAUUUAUAAUUGACAAUUUGCUAUGAAAUGUAUCACAGCUGUCUUUGGUUUUGAUUUAUGGCUAGAACCAGAAUUAAUCUUUGCUUCAGCGCUUUAUUGCAUUUAAACUGAGCUGUAGCUCACCCCACUGCAGCUUCCUUGAAAUAUCUUGUUUAAAGGUUUUCAGGGAAUCAGAAUAAACCACUGUAUACAUCUAACAAUGCUUCUGCUCCAGAAUAUACUGUGAGAAAACAGCGAAAAUGCAUGCUAAGAAUCUUUAAUAUGACCUUCUAUUUUUAUUGCAAUGGCAAAAGUACUUAAUGAUCAGUUAAACUGGAAGAAUAAAAAAUAUGCACACUACUGAAAUGCACAUCCAGCGGAAGGUAGGAGAGUGUCAGGGUAUUGCUCAAAUACAGAGAGGAUUCAGUUAUGUCCUGUCUGCACACCUUAUUUGGUAACAAAAUGGAUUUUAUAUUUUGAAGCAGUUGCUUUAUGGAGUCAAGAUAAAAUGAUCACAUCAAAAUGCCAUUGCUGUCAAAAUGUCAUGUAAAAACGACCUAGUUGAAAUGUCCUAUGGCAUGCCAGACCACUCUGGUUUCAAGAUUUCACUAUUUCACCCUCAAAAUAUCACCAUGUGCCUGACAAAAGCAAAAACUCUCUUACGUAUACCGCCUUGGUUUUCAGCAUCCCUGUUCAGCAUUUUCCACUUAUUUCCCUCUCUGAUCUCUAGAAAUUUUCCAAGAACCCAGUAUAAGUUAAUUUAUUCUUAACAAGAACAACAAAUUAACAAAGACUUAAAGCUUAUAUCAUGUGCCAGACACAGUUUACAGCAUCAUUAAAUGGCUGGAUUCAUUUAAUCCUGCACAAUCCCUAAGAGGGGGAGCUAUUGUCACUCCAAUUUUAAAGGUGAGGAAACUGAGACAGAGAGAAUUUGUUUGGUACUUUGCCUAAGAACACAGUUAAUAAGUAGUAAUACUGAGACUCACAUUCAUAUAAAUUCCUGCUCCAGAGCUUGGGCUUUCAAGUACUGUAGAAAGCAAAAUAUUCUGUAUUGUUCUAUUCUGUAGACAGACUAAAGAACCAGUAUAGAUGAUCCCAAUCAUGCCCUUUCCACACACUAACUCCAUCUCUGUUGAUGUAGGUAAAUUCUUUUCUUCAGGUUACUGAUAACACGAUAGAUUAUUUUGAGGUAGACUGGUAUUACAGACUAAGAUGUGCUCCCUUGACCCCAAAUUUUCAUGUUGUAGUCCUAACCAUAGUUUCUUAGAAAGUUAAUUAUUUGGAGUUAGAGCCUUUAACAAGGAAAUUAAGGGAAACUAAGAUUAUAUGAGAUCAGAUGGGUGUGUCCUAAUCCAGUUCUUAUAAGAACAGGCCAGGACACAGAGAGAGACAUCGGAAUGCGCUGGCAGAAAGAAAAAAGGUCAUUUGAGGAGGACACUGCAAAUAGGCAGCCAUCCACAAGCCAAGGACAGAGGACUCAAGAAAAACCAAAUUGACCGACUCCUUGUUCUUGGACAUUCAUUCAGCCUCUAGAGUUGUAAGAAAAUAAAUGUCUGUUUUUUGGGCCACCUGGUCUGUGGCGUUGACUCGAACAGUCCUAGCAGACAAAUACAAUAUGUAAACCCACUUAGGGGUAAACAGACCCAUGGAUGAAUGUCUUAGAAAAUAUAUUUUUUAAUAUUUCAGUUUCAGAGAUGCAGCCCAUAAAAGCAGGUUUUUCAAGCAACUUGGUAGGUAAGAUUGGUACUUGUUGCCUGAUGAUUUUGAUUGACUGGUGUGUGUGAUCGCAAGCAUGUGUGUAUGGUCUGCAUUAAGUCCUAACAGUAGCCAUUAUUUUACUUUUAGGGGUGAUUUCCAAUUUGUGCAGUGGAUAAUUACAUUAGGUGGAUAAUGUUGUCAUUUGUGAACCAAAAUUAUUUAUAGCCAUUUGAAAUAAAACUGGAUUCCAUUUCAACUGUGAAUCUUGAUAGUUGAUUUAGUUAAUGUAGUCAUUAGGCAGUUUAUAGCACUGUUUUAUUUUGACAAAAAUAAAAUAAAUACACACAGUAGUAAUGUGUGUUGUAUUUUUUCAAAGAAGCAGCUAAUGUAAAUUCACUUAAAUUGAAAUGCCCCAUUAAAAAUUCAUUUGGUGACAAUUAAGUAAAUUAUGUUUUUCUCCUAAAACUAAUUUUUUUCUGAAAUAUAUAUGACAUUAUGUAGUUAAAAUUUCACAGUGAACACAUUUUUAGUUUGAAUAGGAAUAUUUUAAAAACGAAUGCAAAAUACAAAGGAGAAAAGCACUGUGUUUGGAAAUUGUGCUUCUUGUCACUACUUAAAGAUAUCUUCAGUUAAAUUACUAUCAAGAGUAUCUACUGAAAAGUUUAAAAUGUCCUCUUUUCAUAUUACAAAAUCUGUCCCUUUCAAUAAUAAAGGCAAUUAUAUGUGGGCAUACCUUGAAGAUAUUGCAGGUUUGGUUCCAAGAUAUGGCCACAAAGCAAAUAAUGUGAUAAAGUGAGACACAAAAUUUUGGGGUUUUCCAGUGCAUAUAAAAGUUACAUUUAUAUUAUACUCUAGUCUAUUCAGUGUGCAAUAGCAUUUUGUCUGAAAAAAUAUACAUAUCUGUGAAAUCCUGCUGUAGAGCACAGGAAACUACAUAUCUAAUCACUUGUGAUGGAAUAUGAUGGAGGACAAUGUGAGAUAUAGAACAUAUAUAUAUGUGUGUGACUGAGUGAUUUUGCUUUACAACAGAAAUUGACAGAAAAUUAUAAAUCAAUCAUAAUAAAAAUUUUUUAAAAAUAAAAAAUGUAAAUAUCAAUGUAAAUGCUUUAUUGCUAAAAAUGCUAAUCAUCAUCUGAGCCUUCAGUGAGCUGUAAUAAUUUUGCUGGUGGAGGGUUUGAAAUUUUUGAGAAUUACCAAAAUGUGACACAGAGAUACAAAGUGAGCAAACGCUGUUGG